This 1404-nucleotide long non-coding RNA is filed under the name Homo sapiens (human). RNAcentral describes it as "HSALNT0039794". Lineage: Eukaryota; Metazoa; Chordata; Mammalia; Primates; Hominidae. The record is from RNAcentral.
UUUUCCUGACAGUGAGCUAGGGGACUGCACCACUCAGCACUGCCAAUGAGAGAGUGCAGCAGCCAAAAGGAGUGCAGCCCCCUAAGCUGGCCCCACUUGAAUUUAUUUAGUACAGAUUUAAUGACAAGGGCUUGGAGCAAACACAAUUUGUGGGUAAUUAACAUUGUCAACCCCUGCAAGUAGAGAGCAGUCCUGCACAUGAAUGAUCAAAGGUUGGUUUCCAGAGAUAUAAGUAGAACAAUUUAUCUAGAUAAGUUUCUUUACAUUCCCUUGUUAUCUAACCCUUGCUCUUAAGAGAAUUUAACUGCCUUCAGCUAAAUUCUCCUUUGAAGCUUUUGCAAAACCUCCCAUUCUUCCAAGAAGAUUUGUGUCUUUCCCUAUAACCUUUUCUUACAACUUUUCCCACCACCCUGACCAAACUCCUACAGUUUUAGAUUUAAGGUCAGUCAUUUGCUGGCUCUGGGGCUGUGGAAGAAAAACUAAAUCCCUCAGUUCAUGCACACAGUGUGACAGCUUGGCAUAAGUAAAAGACAUGAACAAAAGGAUUAAUGAAGGAGUGAAAGAAGGAAGGAGUGUGCAUUAGGCACAACAUCAUCUAAAAACUAAAAAAACUGGAAUGCAUUAAACUUGUUCACUCAACAAGUAUUGGUUGAGUGCCUACUAAGUGUCAAGUGCUGGGACCAAUGUGGGGGAUACAGUGGAGGAUACAGUGGCAACACAUGGAAAGUAAAGGCAGUGAAAAGGCCAUGGAUUUAAAAAUUAAAGGAAAAAAAGGAGUAAUACAUUUGUUAUUGGUCUUAGCAAAUCGAAAAAAUGUGAGAAAAUAGUGCAGCGUUUGCCAAAUCUACAACUCUUUCACCCUCACUGAGUCUCAAAUUAAGAAUGCACAAAAGCAGAAUUACUAGGAAAUCAAAGUUUUAUGGGUGUAUUCCCUGAAGUAAUAGCACUAUACUGCAAAAUUGGUGGAGGUCGUCUGCACAUUUGAAAUAACCAACCUGCACCUUUACCCCCUCCCCCAGAUUCUAACCAAAUAAAGUAUGAAAUAAGGCAGAACUCACCAUGCUACACCAACUUACCAGGAAUGAAGUUGAUGCUGAUUGGAAAAGUGUCAAGCAAUAAAGAAGAGUUUGGAUUUAUCUUUAACAUUGUCUUCAUGUCACUCAAGACUUUAAUCUCAGCCAAAUCUACUUCCAAAACCAAUCUCUUGUGCAAUGAUCUUGUCUGGGUCCAGGCCAAGGCUUACUUCUAUUGCAUAGCCACUCUCACCCUUCUUGAUUUUUACUCUGAAGAACUUUCCUGUCUGGGUUAGAGUUUCCUCUGUUUUUCACAAAAUCUGAGGAGCUGAUACGGAAAGCACACCAGAUCUCAUGUGUUGAAAUGUGAACAUGCUCACCACAGACCAAG